UAUCUUUUUAGCUUCUCCCUCGCAUAGACACCUGUACUUCACUUGAAAUUCAUUCCCGUAAUUUUUUUUCUCUAUCUUUUCUAUUUUCGUUUUCAACUCUCGUUCGUGGUCAGUCUCUUUUCUCCUCCUCACUUGUGUCUUCUUCUUCUCUAUUAGAAACCAUCUAUGCAAAUUUGAAGCUAUUUUGAAAUGUUUGCCGAGUACUAUCAACAAGUUUCUGUUCUUGCUCUCAAGCCUCAAGGGUAUUUGUGUUUUCACUGCUAUUGUGUUCAAGUUAUAGGAUGGAGUAUAUCACUGACGAGAAGUGUGAGACAAUGUCGUCAACAAGAUUACUGAAUGUAAAGAUCAAAGCACUACUCUGCUUUGAGCAAGAAAGAAUGAUAUGGAUUUGUCACCUGCAACUGCCCUUUCUUUUUUACAACGACCUUUUGGAUUUUAAAAUCUUGCAGAGGUUUGGAAUCACUAUCAUUAGAUUUUCAGUGGUUUAUAUUAUUUUGCCUUACAACCAUUUUCAGUGAAACUGAAUAGACGAUAGUCAUGGACGUGGACUACUUUUGGACAAUCUUUUGGAUCUUCCACGUGCUCCUUAAAUUAAGGAUGGAGUGUCCCAAGCUUGAUAAAGUUCUUGACUCCUGCAUCCGGGUGUGCAAAGAUAUUGGGAUCCGUAUCCAUAGAUAUGGUUCUUAGACCAACUUGUAUGGUUUAUCCACCAUUGGCAUCUCAAAGCUAGGCAAAUUGGAAAUUGGAGGGACAGAGCACCAAACAAUGUUCAACUUCGCCAACUUCAUGUUUGACUAGCUUUAUUACGACAAAAGACACGAUUAUUAUAUUGAAUGUCACUGAAUUUUUCUCCCCUGCUGAAACACAUCCCCUUCAUGCAAUAUAUUUGGAGACAUUUGUUGAGCAGGAUCGCCUGCUCAAUGGCACCAAUAUUUGGAACCUGCCAGUCUCUUACAAUAAGCUGUGUUUUGAGGCUGUAGAUAGUGGAGCGAAAGACCUACCAUUCAGCAGAUAAACAUAGUUACAUCAACUACCAAGCUUUACUUUUCAAGAUGACUUUGAUCUCUUCAUUGUCAGGUCGUGGUGAAAUUCAGUUAAGUUGUUGAGAAGUUCUUUCACUUACUGUAGUUACCAUAUUUUUUCUUGUGAGGAGCCGCCUCAUCACUCUACAACUAAAUUUGUGCAUUAUAAUCAUUAUAGUCGGAAAGGAUCAAAGUUCCUUAUAUCGUGCAGCCUCAAGGCAAUGUCAUGCUACAAUAUCUAUGUGACAAGGUAUGCUCAGUGCUCUCUAGCUAAAGAAAAUGUCUUUCUAUUCUUUAGUCGUAUGUUCUUUAUCCUCUUCCGAGUGGUGUGCACUUCUGUAUACCAAGCCAUAUUCGAAGCUAACAAAUACAUAUCUGAUACAGAAAAUUCCUUUCUUUUUUUGAAAUUAGAUUUUUGAUACAGAAAAUUAUUAUGGCAAUUGAUUAAUAUAUCCACUUCACAUAUAUUUUGGCUACCAUUGUAAUUGGAAAGCCACAGGCAUCGUGAAACAAUCACUUGAUCCCCAAUCCCGUGGGUUUAGUCCUAAUUUACCGUGGCAAGGUAAUAGUACCAUUUAGAGAUGGUUGGUUUACAUUUAACAUCCUUAAUGGAAAUGGUAAUCUUGAUAUGACUUUCCUAUUUGUGUCUGCCUUCAAAAUGUAUAUCUCAGGGCACGUAGGCUACAAAAUAGAUUCAAAAAAAUUUCUACAUGGGAACCAUUAGGAAUAGGUUUAUUCAGAAUUCUUUCUUGACUUGGAUAUUGGGCAUAGUUUCAAUUACUAUAUGACUAUCCAAAUGAUUGGUGGAUCAUUGUUCUAACCCACCGGAUGUCCUUUAGCAGUUGCAAUGCUAGGGAAAUGGUUUUGCAACGAAGAGGUGACUUAUAAUGGGUAUUUAGCAUGCUCACACAUCUAUUGGAAACCUUACGGGGUACAUAUUCGCAUCAAUAUUAUUUGAACUACGGAUGGGGUCGGUCAAUGAUUGUUGCUGAUAUCCUUAUUGAUUUUAGUAACAUGAUAGUGUUCAUAUUCUUACCUGUUUAUCCGAAAUCAUUUUGGGUAAUGAAGAUGAAGUGUUAUCGCCAGGAAAAAGAAGACGAGGAAUUGAAUAAACCUCUCUUAAGAUCAAACAGAAAAGAGAAUCAGUUGUGGGUUUUAGAGAAGCAUAGAGGAUUCCAGGUGUUGCGUCAUUUGCUUUUUGCAUUUUUUGGUUGCUUACACAUUUCUCUAUCGUGCUUCCUGUACUAUAUUAGCCAUACAAACAUGCUAACUGCUCUACAUUUGUAAUGUUAGAUAUGUCGUCUUGUUGUUUUCUUACUCUAUUAUGUAAAAGUGUAUCUUGAUCCUUUUGUGACGAUACUUGUCCCGAGGAAUCUGGUAACUUAUCAACAUUGUUUGAUGUCAAAGGGGUAGUAGGUGGAAUCCUCAUAGGUCAUAUAUCCUAGCUCCAUGCCUAUUCCAAAGCUACGAACACAUCUCCGUGACUAUAAACAUUAUCCUCAUAAUAGCCUAACAUGUGUAUUAGAUGAGAACUUAACCUUUUGAAUACUUUUAGGACAUGAAUUUGAAAUAAAUAAAGACCACCUUGUCAGUACACAUUUCACUUCCAUCUAUAAUUUCUAUCAUCCAAUUCUCCCUCUAGCUUCUCCAUUUAUUGAUUCGAUUUGUCAAUAUAAAUAGUUUUUUUUGUGACUACCUUGUAAUGUGGAUGUAUAAUUCAAUCAAUCAUCAUUAAGCUUUAUUGAGGUUUAACAACUUAAUUCUUGUGUUAUUUGUUUAUUUAUUUGUAACUCCUGACAUUCUUCUCUUGAACAUGUCAUUCGAGGAGCUUUGAGAUUUUCUAUUUUUGCUAAUGCAGUACUGACACUAGAAGUUUGUUCCUAUACAAUAUAACUGGUUUUCCAUUCUAUUUUUUCUCUAAAAAGAUUGCACACUGGCCUUUACCCUUUUAGGAAUAUUGCUUCAAUUGUCUUGCAGAAUUUUACAGGAGAUUUUUAAAAUGAUUAGAAAAUAUUUAUUGGACAUCAUAUUUGGCAAAUACUUAUGGAAUAUGAAGCGCGUGAUAUUGCUACUUAAGGUUUAAGGUAAACAUAGAUUACCACUCUAACCUGUCUUUGCUGGUAGAUUAAUGUAAUGUGGUCGCAUUGGUUAUUUCACUGAAUAGUAACUAAUUUGGAGUCAGUAGUAAAAAUCUAAAAGAUUCAUAACCUUUUGCAUAUCAGUUGGUAUCAGCUGUCGAGCAAAAUUUGUUCAAAAUAUUAUAGUCUUCAUGUAUGAUGAAUGCAUUGCUUACAAUGAAGAGAAUCCAAUAUCAGAAUUCUCAUUAAUAAUCCUGCUGGUGAGGAUGUUUACAAAGGAGUCUCUAAGGUAGGUGUUUCUUGUCAUUGUUUAGUAUGUUCCUAGCUCAAUUUUUUUCGUCAAUGCACCAUUUUAGCUAAAGAUAGAAUGUCGUAUUUGUAGUAUUAAUGGGAGCAACUUUCGUUAUUGGUUUGUUUUUGACCUUCUAGAUAUAUUGUUUAUGUGUGUAUUUAUUGUGGUUCAGGUUGUAUAUUAUUAGAGACAUCGGAGGGUGGUGGAGAAAGAACACAUAAUAGCGUUAUGCGUAUAUGACCUAUGAAGACAUUCUCCGGCAUAAACUUAUUAAACAAACUUUUUGCAGUUGUGUAUAUGUUCAUGCUGCCACUACUUUAAAGUGUAAAAUGUUGGGCCCGUGCUUAGCACGGGCAACACUCAUCUAGUAUAUAUAUAUAUAUUACAUUACAUACCCCUCA
This is a long non-coding RNA of Solanum pennellii, 3793 nucleotides long. RefSeq lists it as uncharacterized. The record is from RefSeq and is a predicted model, not a curated record. The transcript is spliced from 5 exons. Lineage: Eukaryota; Viridiplantae; Streptophyta; Magnoliopsida; Solanales; Solanaceae.